Long non-coding RNA from Oncorhynchus gorbuscha (pink salmon), 1820 nucleotides. RefSeq lists it as uncharacterized. Lineage: Eukaryota; Metazoa; Chordata; Actinopteri; Salmoniformes; Salmonidae. The record is from RefSeq and is a predicted model, not a curated record. The transcript has 3 exons.
AAAGCUUAUACAGUCCUGCUAUUUGUAUCUGGAUAUGUCCACCCAUUUAAGUAAUUAUUCUGUACUAUGGGAAUAGUUGAACUUGUUAACUGAUACCAAUGCGGCCGCUGCUAAGAAGCACGGAGUAGCUAUGGACCAGAAGACUGCAGCCAAGGCAGCACUGAUCCACACCUGCCUUGUCUGUUGGAGUAAAUACAAACCCGAAGAUGUUCAAGCAGCACUCUGAGAGCCACCAUCCCAAGUCUCCAAUGCUCCCAAGACUGGUUGAUGUGCGGGCCUAAGUGACCACACACACUGAAAUGGACCUACAUCCAGGGGAGAAGAUCCAGGCCUGUGCUCUCAAAAUUCACCAAAGGAAUGUGCUUUGUCUCAACAGACUUGUUCCCGCUGAAACUCUUAACACUUUCAAAAGUGAAUACUGGACAAUAUUUCUAACGUAGAAUGUGGGGAAUGGUCAGAGGCGAUCUACAGAACACUAAUGUCGUGUUGUAUGCUAUUUUGUGAUGUCAUUAAAAAUGUUAUAAAGGAAGUACUGUAACUUGGAAAGUAUACCCACUACAUGGAUGAAGUUUCCAUACUAUGGGUUGUGCAUGUAAAAUGGAAAAUUAUGAACGUGUUUUUGUUAAGAGAGGGAUGUGAUUUGAUAAGUUAUAAUAGAGAAUUGUUUCCAUAACUUUGCACACCGCCCCGGAGUGACGUCAUGGAGCAUGCCAGCCUGCCAGAACUGCCAGUUUUGUGCAAAAGUUAUAAAUUAUGGGUUAUGAAUUAACACAUGGGACCAGAAAAGUGUGAAGCUGCAGCUGCGUGUUUAAAAUGGUUUGAACUUUAAAUCUCAAGUCAAGGUGGAGACAAUAAACUCACCUCCCAGAAAAUCACUGGUACGGCUGAUUGGCUGUCCUAAGUAAAGUAUCUUCAAAAGCGAAUUUAAGUAGGACCAACCUGUUACUCUGCUCAAACCAUCGUAUAUAAGUUAUUGUGAUUUGAAUUUAACAUUAAUCUGAAGACUGUUAUUUAUCUAAUUAACUAACUAUGUUAAAUUGUUACCCGAUUGAAUGAAUCAUGUAAAACAUAACUCAUUGGGAUCUGGGGCACCACGAGAGCGGUUCUUUAAAACUCUAACAUAGUUAGUUAAUUAGAUAAAUAAGUCUUCAGAUUAAUGUUAAAGUCAAAUCACGAUAACUUUAAUGUUAUGAUUCACAGACACUCGAUGUUCACAAUUUGAAUGACAUUGAGGGACACGCUAAGACCCCGAGUAUGACUGGACAUGGGCCGGAUAUUUGUGAUGCAGAAACACACCAGUACCAUGACAAGCAAGUUAAAUGUUUAUUCCAUAGCUACCCCUUAUCCCACACUGCCUUUUAUGCACCGUGGUGCUUCAACUUUGAACAUUUUGGAACUCUCCAUCUUAUCUCUAUAAACCCACCCUACCUUCACCCAUUUUCCCUAUGCUGCUACCUUAACUUAUUCUUCUCCUGAUUUGAUCAAAUCUAGACUAAGUAACAUGUUUAAAAGUGGCCAGCAGAGAUAGGUGGGAUGGGCUGAGGGUUGAGAUGUGGAAUUGGAAACAAGUGGGAGUGGAGUUGCUGGGCGUGGGAUAGAAUGGCGGUCAAAGAUAAAAGUAUAAAAAGUCCAAAUAAAACAACAUAAAGUAAGUUUGAAUGACACUGAGGGGCAGGGUUUUUACAGCUAAUGCCGGGUUGCCUGAAACUGAUGCCGUGCAGGUGUUUGUACACAUGCAUAUACACACUCUCAUUCAAAUGCACACACGUGCACAUACACAGACACACAUACAUGUAAAUGUAACAGUAUAAUUUUAAACC